This 653-nucleotide long non-coding RNA is filed under the name Nicotiana benthamiana. RNAcentral's name for it is "long non-coding RNA (NBEN_LNC004806)". Lineage: Eukaryota; Viridiplantae; Streptophyta; Magnoliopsida; Solanales; Solanaceae. The record is from RNAcentral.
AAUUGAGUUUUAAAUAAUUUUGCUUCUUCUUCUAUACUGAUAUCGGAGUUGAGUUCGAGAAUAAGAAAAGAGAUAUAAAAAUGUUCAUGUUUCUUUGAUUCUGUUUUUGUUUUCAAUUAUUUUCCAAAACAAAAAUCAAAAUAUAUAUUUCUCCUUUCUUUCUGGGUUGAAGUUGGUUUGAAAAUGGUGCUCGAUUGAGAGUCACUGAGUUUGUUGCUGUCCGAGUUUUUUAUUUUUACUCGAUGUUGUUGUUGGCCGUGCUGAUAUUAGCUACUGUAUUUCACUGUUACUGAUUCAGCUGAGAUUGAGACGUUGUUCGGAUUUCUAUCAUUGCUUUCUUCUUCGAAUCUUGUUGCUGCACAUUUUGUUUUGCCAUUGAAAUCUUUUCAUAUUUUGUAUUCAGGCAAACUAAUACAGGUUCGUUUUAGACUCAACUUUGAUAUUGUUGUUGGUUCAAGGAGCUGUGUUUUUAUUUACGCAUGUCGUAAUUUGUUCGUUGAGGUGUUUUCAUCUGUAUAUGGCAUCUGAUUUCGUCGGAUCUCCUUCAUUUCUACUUAGUCACUGGUCGAAAUGUUGAUUUCACGUUAGUUGUGCUUCGAAUUUUUCUGUUUAACUUGUGCCCAAAUCGACAAAUAAGAGUACUAGCUUAUGUG